GAAAUGUUCUGUGAUGUUCUGUGAUGCAUGUAAUUUUAAUUUUCAGAUGCCUGCGUGCAUCUUAAAUUUAUGUAUUAGAGACCUGCGUGUCUCAAUGAAAAGGGUUGUAAUUUUAUUUUUAUUUUUAUUUAAUUUUUAAAGCAAUCUGGGAUGUAAUCUGUGAUGUGUGUUGCACAUCGAUGGUUGAUCGAUAUGUACAUCAACAAGCUCAACAUGCACGGAUCAAGAUCAAGGGUUGAUUGAAGAUGGAUCAAGGAGUUGAUCACAAUUGGACCUAGAGGAUCAAGAUCGAGUCAAGAGUUGAAGACGAUCAAACCAAUUGACGU
RNAcentral lists this long non-coding RNA (326 nucleotides) under Phoenix dactylifera (date palm). Its description in RNAcentral is "long non-coding RNA (PDAC_LNC018091)". Lineage: Eukaryota; Viridiplantae; Streptophyta; Magnoliopsida; Arecales; Arecaceae. The record is from RNAcentral.